RNAcentral lists this ribosomal RNA (1408 nucleotides) under metagenome. RNAcentral's name for it is "bacterial SSU rRNA". It matches the Rfam family "Bacterial small subunit ribosomal RNA". The record is from RNAcentral.
GUGGCGAACGGGUGAGUAAUGUAUCGGAACGUACCAUUCAGUGGGGGAUAACGUAGCGAAAGUUACGCUAAUACCGCAUAUUCUGUGAGCAGGAAAGCAGGGGAUCGCAAGACCUUGCGCUGAUUGAGCGGCCGAUAUCAGAUUAGCUAGUUGGUGAGGUAAAGGCUCACCAAGGCGACGAUCUGUAGCGGGUCUGAGAGGAUGAUCCGCCACACUGGAACUGAGACACGGUCCAGACUCCUACGGGAGGCAGCAGUGGGGAAUUUUGGACAAUGGGGGCAACCCUGAUCCAGCCAUGCCGCGUGAGUGAAGAAGGCCUUCGGGUUGUAAAGCUCUUUCGGCCGGAAAAAAAUCGCAUGGGUUAAUACCCUGUGUGGAUGAUGGUACCGGAAUAAGAAGCACCGGCUAACUACGUGCCAGCAGCCGCGGUAAUACGUAGGGUGCGAGCGUUAAUCGGAGUUACUGGGCGUAAAGCCUGCGCAGGCGGUUUGAUAAGACAGGCGUGAAAUCCCCGGGCUCAACCUGGGAACUGCGUUUGUGACUGUCUCACUAGAGUACGGCAGAGGGGGGUGGAAUUCCACGUGUAGCAGUGAAAUGCGUAGAGAUGUGGAGGAACACCAAUGGCGAAGGCAGCCCCCUGGGUCGAUACUGACGCUCAUGCACGAAAGCGUGGGUAGCAAACAGGAUUAGAUACCCUGGUAGUCCACGCCCUAAACGAUGUCAACUAGGUGUUGGGAGGGUAAAACCUUUUAGUACCGUAGCUAACGCGAGAAGUUGACCGCCUGGGGAGUACGGCCGCAAGGUUAAAACUCAAAGGAAUCGACGGGGACCCGCACAAGCGGUGGAUGAUGUGGAUUAAUUCGAUGCAACGCGAAAAACCUUACCUACCCUUGACAUGUCCAGGAGCCCGAAGAGAUUUGGGUGUGCUCGAAAGAGAACUGGAACACAGGUGCUGCAUGGCUGUCGUCAGCUCGUGUCGUGAGAUGUUGGGUUAAGUCCCGCAACGAGCGCAGCCCUUGUCGUUAAUUGCCAUCAUUUAGUUGGGCACUUUAACGAGACUGCCGGUGACAAACCGGAGGAAGGUGGGGAUGACGUCAAGUCCUCAUGGCCCUUAUGGGUAGGGCUUCACACGUCAUACAAUGGUCGGUACAAAGGGUUGCCAACCCGCGAGGGGGAGCUAAUCCCAUAAAGCCGAUCGUAGUCCGGAUCGCAGGCUGCAACUCGCCUGCGUGAAGUCGGAAUCGCUAGUAAUCGUGGAUCAGCAUGUCACGGUGAAUACGUUCCCGGGUCUUGUACACACCGCCCGUCACACCAUGGGAGCGGGUUCCGCCAGAAGUAGGUAGCCUAACCGCAAGGAGGGCGCUUACCACGGCGGGGUUCGUGACUGGGGUGAAGUCGUAACAAGGUA